This 253-nucleotide ribosomal RNA is filed under the name uncultured bacterium. RNAcentral describes it as "partial 16S ribosomal RNA". It matches the Rfam family "Bacterial small subunit ribosomal RNA", at positions 524 to 776 of the family's 1533-position model. RNAcentral also lists the same sequence under 1 other name. The record is from RNAcentral.
UACGGAGGGUGCAAGCGUUAUCCGGAUUCACUGGGUUUAAAGGGUGCGUAGGCGGGUAUGUAAGUCAGUGGUGAAAUCCCCGAGCUUAACUCGGGAACUGCCAUUGAUACUAUAUAUCUUGAAUGUUCUGGAGGUAUGCGGAAUAUGUCAUGUAGCGGUGAAAUGCUUAGAGAUGACAUAGAACACCUAUUGCGAAGGCAGCAUGCUACGGAAAUAUUGACGCUGAGGCACGAAAGUGUGGGGAUCAAACAGG